RNAcentral lists this ribosomal RNA (253 nucleotides) under uncultured bacterium. RNAcentral describes it as "partial 16S ribosomal RNA". It matches the Rfam family "Bacterial small subunit ribosomal RNA", at positions 524 to 776 of the family's 1533-position model. The record is from RNAcentral.
CACGUGGGGGCCGAGCGUUGUCCGGAGUUACUGGGCGUGAAGCGCGCGCAGGCGGCCCGUUUGGCCCGGCGUGAAAGCCCCCGGCUCAACCGGGGAGCGUCGUCGGGGACCGGCGGGCUUGAGGGCGGUAGGGGCCGGUGGAAUCCCCGGUGUAGUGGUGAAAUGCGUAGAGAUCGGGGGGAACACCCGUGGCGAAGGCGGCCGGCUGGGCCGACCCUGACGCUGAGGCGCGAAGGCGUGGGGAGCGAACGGG